UCUACAAAAUAGAAUCUUUGAAACAAGUGAGUAUGCAGUAUAUGUUUUUCAAAGCAGCACAAUACUAACACGAGUUCAGUAAACACUAGCGACUCAGUUAAGGAACAUCAAUCCAUAAUCAGUUCAUUCCCCAGGUUCAUCAUUCAAAUAUGUAUUUCAACAACGAUUUGCUCUCAACAUGGUUAUAAUCAAUUAAGAACUCAAAUCAACAUGAAAAUGAAAGGCGAAAUCGAGUUGUGAUAAAAAAACCAAAUUGAAAAAAAUUCUCAAUCCCUAAAUCAUCUCA
This 286-nucleotide long non-coding RNA is filed under the name Brassica napus (rape). RNAcentral describes it as "long non-coding RNA (BNAP_LNC026429)". Lineage: Eukaryota; Viridiplantae; Streptophyta; Magnoliopsida; Brassicales; Brassicaceae. The record is from RNAcentral.